CGCGAGUCCUGGUACGGAGGGCGGACGCGGCAGUAUUUAGAUAAGAAGGCGGUGCUGCGCGGGCGCGGCGGCCCGGGAAGGGCAGGGCAGAGAUGGGGUUUCACCAUGUUGCCUAGGCUGGUCUGGAACUCCUGGACUCAAGCGAUGCCUCCUUGGCCUCCCAAAAUGCUGGGAUUACAGAGUCUCACGCUGUCGCCAGGCUAGAGUGCAGUGGCACAGUCUCAGCUCACCGCAAGCUCCACCUCCUGGGUUCAAGCAAUUCUCCUGCCUCAGACUCCUGAGUAGCUGGGACUACAGGUGUCCACCACCACGCUCAGUUGGUUGGAGCCACAAGAUCAAAUCCUGGCUCAUGGAAUAUGGUCAGAAGUGAUGAUGCCAAUUCUGGGCCUGGCCCAUAAAACCUCCCAUCUAAUCUUUGCUCUUUCUUCAUCUGCUGGCCAAAUGAAGAUUUUAAGCAGAAUCACAGAAUGGGAAGAGCCUGGGUCCCUGAAUUACUAUAUGGAGCAGAACUCCUCCGCAAACCUACUUAUGACUGUGAUAAGAGCAAUGUGGUAAGUAUUGUGCUUCGCUAUCGCAGCAGCUAGCAUCAUUUAGUCUAACAGAGGUGGAAACGGGAUGAAGAGGAAAAAGGAAGAAAACAAUGAUGGGCAUAUAGUACGAAUGAUGUUAACUACUGGACUCCUAUGCUAUAUGCAUGUUGAGGCGAGUCAAAAGAGAAGAAGUAACUGAGGACAGCCCGGAGAAAAACCCUAGGAGGGAUAUAGGUGGCAUAAAGUUAAAAAAGAAAUGACUACUGAGUAGUAGAAGAAGUAAAGAUGGAAAGACGGAGUCUCACUCUGCGCCAGGCUGGAGGGCAGUGGUGCAAUCUCGGCUCACCGCAACCUCCACCUCCCGUGUUCAAACAAUUCUCCUGCCUCAGCCUCCUGAGUAGCUGACACUACAGGUGCGUGCCACUACAUCCAGCUAAGUUUUGUAUUUUUAGUAGAGACGGGGUUUCACCAUGUUGACCAGGAUGGUCUCGAUCUCUUGACCUCAUGAUCCACCCGCCUCGGCCUCCCAAAGUGCUGGGAUUACAGGCAUGAGCCACUGCACCCAGCCUGUGUCUUAUUUUUGAGAGAACAAAUUUCUUUCUUGGUAAUUAUUUACAAUAGUAUAGUUUCAUUACAUUGGGGAAAAGGAUCCUUUUGUCCUUCUAAACUGGUUAUAAGCCCUUAAUGCAAAUAGGAUUGCUGGUUUACUUCAAUUUAAACUAGGAAUUUUAGCUUGGCUCACAAAAAGCUAUAUAUUAAUAGCUAGGGUUAAAGUCAAUGCAGUUGGCCAGCUGAAAAUGGGCAACCUAUAAGUACCAAACAGCAAAAAAGGAACUGCAGAUUUGCUUGGUUAUUUCACCCAAUGUAUGGCUCUCCAGUAAAAGGCUUAUUCUGCAUGGCAGGUGUAAAUGAAUAAACAACACAGACAUGUUUAUGGUCCUUUCUACAGAAAUAUCUAUGAGAAAAGCUACUGAUAUGUUUUAUAUUAUGCUCAAAAUAGUCAAAAAGAAAAAGCUCAGCAACAUUUGAAAAGCCAAAAAACCCUAUCCAAUACAGUUAUUGGAGACUAGGCUGGGCAUGGUGGCUCAUGCCUGUAAUCCCAGCACUUUGGGAGGCUGAGGCUGGCAGAUCACCUGAGAUCAGGAGUUCAAGACCAGCCUGGCCAACAUGGCGAAACUCUGUCUCUACUAAAAAUACAAAAAUUAGCUGGAUGUGGUGGUAGGCGCCUGUAAUCCCAGCUACUUGGGAGGCUGAGGCAGGAGAAUCACUUGAACCUGGGAGGCAGAGGUUGCAGUGAGCCAAGAUCAUGCCGCUGCACUCCAGACUGGGCAACAGAGUAAGGCUCCAUCUCAAAAAAAAAAAAAAAAAACCCUAAAACAAGCAGAAAAGUUAUUGUAGACUAAAAUUACACAUUCAAAAGAAGGCAGAAGAAUUCUCUUUUGAUUAAGGGAAAAUAAGACUAUCUAAUGUUAAAGACUUGGCUGUCCCGAGAAUUACAUCCUUAUUAUAAGUUGAGUUACAGAAGUGAUCAGCUAGGAGAGCCUUUUCCUCGGCAUUAUGAACACAAACAGAUGUACCUAGUGAGAGAAGCAUAACUUGCUGCUCCUUAAAAUAUUCGUCAGAAAAUUGAAGGCUGUUGAUAGUUAGCUUUAACAGGGGGAAAUGGACAGGAAAAAGGUUCUUUUAGAGAACUGGAGAAGGCAAGGGGGUCUUUUUUUUUUUUUUGAGACAGAGUCUUACUCUGUCACCCAGGCUGGAGAGCAGGGGCACCAUCUCGGCUCACUGCAACCUCCGCCUCCUUGGGUUCAAGUGAUUCUCAUGCUUAAGUCCCCUGAAUAGCUGGAAUUACAGGCAUGCACCACCACGCCCAGCUAAUUUUUGUAUUUUUAAAAGAGAUGGGGUUUCACCAUGUUGGCCAGGCUGGUCUUGAACUCCUGACUUCAAGUGAUCCACCCCGCCUCGGCCUCCCAAAGUGCUGGGUUUACAAGCGUGAACCACUGUGCCAGGACGGCAAGGGGCUUUUUAAAGCCCAGAAGCUUCUACAUGAUUUCUGGGAGGUCAGGAGAAUCCCAUUAACAGAAUGAACUAAACUGUGUUAAAUCAGUUUCAAUUAGUUAUCAGGUUACCUACAUGGAACAGAUAGUUCUAUUUCUUUAAAUUUACUAGGUAUUGUUUCUUAAUGUUAGCAUGUAAAUAUAAGAAGUAUUAACAUAAUAUUUAUAAAGUUAUGGCAAAAUAAAUUCUUUUUCUUAUAGAGAACACAUACUCAAUCUAGACGAACAAAUGUGUUCUGAAUCUCAGCUGGUCCAUUCUUACUAAAGGUAUUAACUUCCACCUAGUGGUCAGUUCUAGAACUGAGGGCAUGAAAUUCCAGGAGGAAACUUUACAUAAGCAUGCCCUUAAAAAAGGUAUUGCAGUGCUUUCAGGAACGGUGCACCCACAGCCGGGCGCAGUGGCUCACGCCUGUAAGCCCAGCACUUUGGGAGGCCGAGGUGGGCGGAUCAUGAGGUCAGGAGAUUGAGACCAUCCUGGGUAACAUACUGAAACCCUGUCUCUACUAAAAAAAAAAAAAAAAAAAUACAAAA
This is a long non-coding RNA of Symphalangus syndactylus (siamang), 3115 nucleotides long. RefSeq lists it as uncharacterized. The record is from RefSeq and is a predicted model, not a curated record. NCBI's taxonomy places the organism in Eukaryota, Metazoa, Chordata, Mammalia, Primates, Hylobatidae.